Molecule: ribosomal RNA, 253 nt
Filed under: uncultured bacterium
Lineage: Bacteria
Description: partial 16S ribosomal RNA
Rfam family: Bacterial small subunit ribosomal RNA
Source: RNAcentral
UACGUAGGUGACAAGCGUUGUCCGGAUUUACUGGGCGUAAAGAGCGCGCAGGCGGUCGUUCAAGUCGAGUGUGAAAGCCCCCGGCUCAACUGGGGAGGGUCAUUCGAUACUGAUCGACUCGAAGGCAGGAGAGGGUGGCGGAAUUCCCCAAGUAGAGGUGAAAUUCGUAGAUAUGGGGAGGAACACCGGUGGCGAAGGCGGCCACCUGGACGGUAACUGACGCUGAGACGCGAAAGCGUGGGGAGCAAACAGG